AACGAACGCUGGCGGCGUGCCUAACACAUGCAAGUCGAGCGAGAAAGCCCGCAAGGGUGAGUAAAGCGGCGCACGGGUGCGUAACACGUGGGUAAUCUGCCCAGAAGACCGGAAUAACAUCCCGAAAGGGGUGCUAAUACUGGAUAAGACCACAGGGUCCUCGGACCUCGGGGUAAAAAGGUGGCCUCUGUACACAAGCUAUCACUUCUGGAUGAGCCCGCGGCCCAUCAGCUAGUUGGCGGGGUAACGGCCCACCAAGGCUAUGACGGGUAGCUGGUCUGAGAGGACGAUCAGCCACACUGGAACUGAGACACGGUCCAGACUCCUACGGGUGGCAG
This 338-nucleotide ribosomal RNA is filed under the name uncultured Pseudomonadota bacterium. Its description in RNAcentral is "bacterial SSU rRNA". It matches the Rfam family "Bacterial small subunit ribosomal RNA", at positions 29 to 351 of the family's 1533-position model. Lineage: Bacteria; Pseudomonadati; Pseudomonadota. The record is from RNAcentral.